GACGAACGCUGGCGGCGUGCUUAACACAUGCAAGUCGAACGGAAAGGCCCCUUUGGGGGUACUCGAGUGGCGAACGGGUGAGUAACACGUGAGUAACCUGCCCUUGACUUCGGGAUAACUUCAGGAAACUGGGGCUAAUACCGGAUAGGAAUCCUUGCUGCAUGGUGGGGGUUGGAAAGCUUCGGCGGUUUUGGAUGGACUCGCGGCUUAUCAGCUUGUUGGUGGGGUAGUGGCUUACCAAGGCUUUGACGGGUAGCCGGCCUGGGAGGGCGACCGGCCACAUUGGGACUGAGAUACGGCCCAGACUCCUACGGGGGGCAGCAGUGGGGAAUAUUGCACAAUGGGCGGAAGCCUGAUGCAGCAACGCCGCGGGCGGGAUGACGGCCUUCGGGUUGGAAACCGCUUUCAGCAGGGGCGAAGCUUGUGGUGACGGUACCUGCAGAAGAAGCACCGGCUAACUACGUG
Molecule: ribosomal RNA, 465 nt
Filed under: uncultured bacterium
Lineage: Bacteria
Description: partial 16S ribosomal RNA
Rfam family: Bacterial small subunit ribosomal RNA
Source: RNAcentral